GGGGAUUUAGCUCAGUGGUAGAGCGCUUGCCUAGCAAGCACAAGGCCUGGGUUCAGUCCCCA
Non-coding RNA from Rattus norvegicus (Norway rat), 62 nucleotides. The record is from Rfam. Lineage: Eukaryota; Metazoa; Chordata; Mammalia; Rodentia; Muridae.